GAACUUUACUUGGAUGGAGAGGAUAAUUCUGGCCGGUAUGGUUGACCUGGUGGAACAGAGAACUGUUCGCAUUUCCUGUGAAUGCGAUAAGUCCACAGGAAAAGGGCGUGAGCCACCGGCUGCCAUGGUUCGGCCGUUGCCGUCGUCGUGAGGCAAUCGAUGGGCGCGGUGGAAAUGUUCGCGAGGGAACAGCGAGCGGUGGAGCUGUCUCGUGUCAAAUUCUGAACCUGAGCUUCCUCAUACAUUUUAUUUUUCGUCACUGACACAAAAGACUUUUACAAAAAAAAACAGUACUUUUCGCCGUGCGUGCUGUCAGGCAAGCAAUUUCUCAUCUUACACAGCGAAGCUGCUAGACU
This 356-nucleotide long non-coding RNA is filed under the name Setaria viridis. RNAcentral's name for it is "long non-coding RNA (SVIR_LNC005228)". The record is from RNAcentral. Lineage: Eukaryota; Viridiplantae; Streptophyta; Magnoliopsida; Poales; Poaceae.